This 380-nucleotide ribosomal RNA is filed under the name uncultured eukaryote. RNAcentral describes it as "partial 18S ribosomal RNA". It matches the Rfam family "Eukaryotic small subunit ribosomal RNA", at positions 592 to 976 of the family's 1831-position model. The record is from RNAcentral.
CAAUAGCGUAUAUUAAAGUUGUUGCGGUUAAAAAGCUCGUAGUUGGAUUUCUGUUGGGAACGACCGGUCCGCCCAUUGGGUGUGUAUCUGGCUUGUUCUCGGCAUCUUCUUGGUGAACGUUGCUGCACUUGACUGUGUGGAGCGCUACCCAGGACUUUUACUUUGAGGAAAUUAGAGUGUUUCAAGCAGGCAUAUGCCUUGAAUACAUUAGCAUGGAAUAAUAAGAUAGGACCUCGGUUCUAUUUUGUUGGUUUCUAGAGCUGAGGUAAUGAUUAAUAGGGAUAGUUGGGGGCAUUCGUAUUUAACUGUCAGAGGUGAAAUUCUUGGAUUUGUUAGAGACGGACUACUGCGAAAGCAUUUGCCAAGGAUGUUUUCAUUGA